CCCCUCUGAAGACAUCGAUGGUAAGAGAGGGAAGGGGGUGGUCAAAAAGGGGGGCUGCUUCCUCUCCAUCCCCACACCUCUUUUCCUCUCCUCACUCUACAGUUGUAUUGUGGUAAUCUCUGAGUGGUUAGACUCAAUUUAACCCUCUGUGGGGGAGAUUCCACCAAAAGUGUAGCAGAGUAGCAAAAGCAGACUUUCAAAAACAGCAGAUACUUACACGCGGUGAGCAAAGAGAAGCCUUUUUCUGUUAGGAUGGCUAUCAAUUGCAGAGGCUCAGUAAAAGUUCAAAAAACAUUUAUUCAGGUAAAAAGAAUUUCAUUGUAGAUAGAAAGGUUUGGGAGCUGUCUAGCUUUCUAGAGUAGUUUCUAAGGAAAAAUAACAAACAUCUAGAUAGUCACAUCUUGCCUAGAGGGACAGCAAGAUGCUGCUAUUAGCUUGAAGAACAAAGAGAGAAGAGACUGAACCAAAAUGGUUCCGACUUCAUGGUCCAGUUUAUUGGGGCCAUAAAACAUUCUGACUAAUGAGAAGUUAGUGUCCCUGAAGAUUCACAUUUCUACUAACAUCAAAGUAAGGGAUAUAAGGUAAACAGGAUAGAAAGAGGGGAAACACAGUAGAGCCUAUCUGGGCAUGCUUUGGAAACAGGGAAAGGAUUCCCUCAAUCUAGUCUUAUCAUCUAUCUGACUACAUCUAGACUUGAGUGGUCCAGGGUGAUUCCCAACUCCUAGUCUUCCUCCCCUGGGCUGUCUUCCCAUUCCUUCCCUUUUGGCCCCACACCCAUGAGGGAAGGGGGCAGCCCCUAUUUCACUCCUUUUCUCCAUUGUCUUUUACAGGACUCCGAAGCGGCAACGCUGGCUGACAUCCCCAGCCUGGAGGAUGAGGUGUGGGACCCUCUCCCCAGUACAAGCAGCUCCGUAGGACCCGGCGAAGAUGAAGAUCCUGCCCUGCACCCGAGGAGAUGGUCCUCCCUGGACCCAGAACAGGCAAAACAACACCUGCACCAUCUUUGCCUGCUGGUCUGCAGUUCCUCCUCUGCAGAGGUCACGCAGGCAGUGGAUUACGUGGCCCGAAAACAUCUAAAGAUGGCCACGGACCACUUUCUGGAGUCCGACGGGAGGGCAUGUGGUGAAUUAGUAAGCGCCGUACUCAAUUCACCAUAUUGUUGCCUGGAAGCGGCGCUGGACCUGUUCCUGGCCAAGGUGAAGGAGGGACCUUGGCUGGCCCAGGAGGGCAAGGAACAGGGCAGCCCUACUUUUGAUGCGGCCACGGUAAGGACCUCCCCACCUGCACUCUGUUUUUAGGGGGCUGGGGAAGGAGAACGGGGUCCCCUCUUUCUUGACCUUUCCUUGCAUUUGAGCCUCCUUCUUUCUCUCCGCAGGCAAGAGCGACGCGGGCCAUCGGCGGGAUCGUCAGACACAUCAGGGACAGCACGCGCCUGGAGGGGUGGUUCCUGGAGCUUCUGCUCGCCUUGGUGACCAACUUCAUCGAGGUGACAAGGCCUGGGUUGGAGGCACCCAGCAGGAACCGGAGCAACAGCUACGUUCCUCCAGAGUAAGGAGAGGGUGGGGAGGAAGGGUCUGCGGGACUCCCAGCCCUUUUGGGGGGCUGAAGGGGGACUCAGAUCCUUCACUAGUAAGUAAUCCUUUUUCUUUCUUUCUUUUUCAGAGAACUGGCGAAGAUCAUCAUCGUGCUGGUGAAGAGGGUGGCACCAAAGUCCUUCAACAGGACCUCCGAGUGGAUGCUAGAAGAUGACCCAAGCAUCUGCCCUGAGGGGAUAGCCCUCCAGUUGCGGUAAGGAACUAAGGGCUGAUGGAGGUUCAGGGAGGAAGCCCAGCUUGUUCUCUCUGGCUGGGUUCCCUCACAGGGGUCUUUCUUGUCUUCCAGGAGCCUCCUCAAGUCCUCCUCCUCCUCCCUACUCCAGCACCUGCAUUCCAUCUGGGAGAAAGAAGCGCCGCUGGAGCAUUCGGCCGGCGUGGUGGCCUUCUACGUCCAGGUGAGGAGGGUUGUUCAGCCAGGGUUAUGGGUUGGAAGGGGCCUUAGGGCAAGGCUGGGGAGACAAGGAGAGGAGAGGCAGUGCUUCCCUUCCUAGCUCCAGCCCUUCAUG
This is a long non-coding RNA of Anolis carolinensis (green anole), 2101 nucleotides long. The record is from Ensembl. Lineage: Eukaryota; Metazoa; Chordata; Lepidosauria; Squamata; Anolidae.